This 785-nucleotide ribosomal RNA is filed under the name uncultured bacterium. RNAcentral's name for it is "bacterial SSU rRNA". It matches the Rfam family "Bacterial small subunit ribosomal RNA", at positions 8 to 796 of the family's 1533-position model. The record is from RNAcentral.
AGAGUUUGAUCAUGGCUCAGAUUGAACGCUGGCGGAAUGCUUAACACAUGCAAGUCGAGCGGGGUGUAGCAAUACACCUAGCGGCGGACGGGUGAGGAAUACAUAGGAAUCUGCCUCAGAGCGGGGGACAGCCCGGGGAAACCCGGAUUAAUACCGCAUACGACCUGAGGGUGAAAGCGGGGGAUCGCAAGACCUCGCGCUAUUGGAGCGGCCGAUAUCAGAUUAGCUAGUUGGUGGGGUAAAGGCCUACCAAGGCUACGAUCUGUAGUUGGUCUGAGAGGACGACCAGCCACACUGGGACUGAGACACGGCCCAGACUCCUACGGGAGGCAGCAGUGGGGAAUUUUGGACAAUGGGCGCAAGCCUGAUCCAGCAAUGCCGCGUGCAGGAAGAAGGCCUUCGGGUUGUAAACUGCUUUUGUCAGGGAAGAAAUCUUCUGGGCUAAUACCCCGGGAGGAUGACGGUACCUGAAGAAUAAGCACCGGCUAACUACGUGCCAGCAGCCGCGGUAAUACGUAGGGUGCGAGCGUUAAUCGGAAUUACUGGGCGUAAAGCGUGCGCAGGCGGCUUUGCAAGACAGAUGUGAAAUCCCCGGGCUCAACCUGGGAACUGCAUUUGUGACUGCAAGGCUAGAGUACGGCAGAGGGGGAUGGAAUUCCGCGUGUAGCAGUGAAAUGCGUAGAUAUCUGAAGGAACACCAGUGGCGAAGGCGACUCCCUGGACUCAAACUGACGCUGAGGUACGAAAGCGUGGGUAGCAAACAGGAUUAGAUACCCUGGUAGUCC